CGGGGAGCUUGAACAGGUGCUGCAUGGCUGUCGUCAGCUCGGGUCGUGAGAUGUUCGGUUAAGUCCCGCUAACGAGCGCAACCCUCGCUGUGUGUUACAAGUGUCACACGGAACUGCCGGUCAUAAACCGGAGGAAGGUGGGGAUGACGUCAAGUCAGCAUGGCCUUUUAUAUCCUGGGCUACACACACGCUACAAUGGGAAGGGACAAUAGGUUGCGAAACCGCGAGGUGGAGCCAAUCCAGCAAAACUUCCCUCAGUUCAGAUUGCAGGCUGCAACUCGCCUGCAUGAAGUUGGAGUUGCUAGUAAACGCAGGUCAGCCAUACUGCGUUGAAUACGUUCCCGGGGCUU
Molecule: ribosomal RNA, 350 nt
Filed under: uncultured Anaerolineaceae bacterium
Lineage: Bacteria; Bacillati; Chloroflexota; Anaerolineae; Anaerolineales; Anaerolineaceae
Description: bacterial SSU rRNA
Rfam family: Bacterial small subunit ribosomal RNA
Source: RNAcentral